This 206-nucleotide small nucleolar RNA is filed under the name Ochotona princeps (American pika). Its description in RNAcentral is "Small nucleolar RNA SNORA74 (ENSOPRG00000022930.1)". Lineage: Eukaryota; Metazoa; Chordata; Mammalia; Lagomorpha; Ochotonidae. The record is from RNAcentral.
CCCAGCUGAAGUCAGCUGCCUAGGUUACACUGGACCUAGGCAAGUGUUAACGCUGCUGGGAGAAGAGUAUCUAAUAGCUGGCAAGCAUCCAGGGCCUGGUUAAUGCCAAAUCUGUAUUAACUAUGCCAGUGUGCCAGCAUCGUUGCCUGUUUUAUUUUUUUUUUCAAGAUAGGUGAAGGGCAGAUGUCGCCACUCUGGCACACAGG